RNAcentral lists this long non-coding RNA (601 nucleotides) under Homo sapiens (human). RNAcentral describes it as "novel transcript". The record is from RNAcentral. Lineage: Eukaryota; Metazoa; Chordata; Mammalia; Primates; Hominidae.
GGAAGGGAGGAAGCGUAGAAGGUGCCGAUGCACUUUUCCUCUCUCCAGCCCUCCUGACUGCUCCAAGAAUUUCAUCGAACAAGACUCAAAGAGGCCCAGCUGCUCUGCGUUUUGAUUCUUCUCCCUCUCUCAGUCCACACUGACCUGGGAGGGGCUUCUCAAACACCACAUUUCCUAGCGUGCUGUGAGAAGAGGACUGUGAGCUAAGAAGGGAGAAAAGAUGGAGUCUCUCACUCCAUCCCCCAGGCACUGGACUGCAGUAGUACGAUCUUGACUCACUGCAACCUCUGCCUCCCAGGUUCAAGCGAUUCUCCUGCCUCAGCCUCCCGAGUAGCUGGGACUACAGGCACUCCCUCCUCAUCAACAAACACCUGACCUGGGUAGACCCUCUGCUUACCAAGAUCCAGUCCACCUUUUGACAUCAGCAUUCAUGCUGCCUCUUUUUACGAACCAAGCCAAAGUGGUCCCUUCCUCUGGAAAUUAUAGGAUACUUAAUGUACAUCAUAUCCAGCUUCCCGACUCCAGACUGUGGGAGAUGACACAGAGCCAGCCUGCCUGGAUGUGACUCAGCUCUGCAACUUAUUAAAGACCUUUGGCAAAU